CCUACGGGGGGCAGCAGUGGGGAAUAUUGGACAAUGGGGGCAACCCUGAUCCAGCCAUGCCGCGUGUGUGAAGAAGGCCCUCGGGUUGUAAAGCACUUUCAGUGAGGAAGAACGCCUGGUGGUUAAUACCCAUCAGGAAAGACAUCACUCACAGAAGAAGCACCGGCUAACUCCGUGCCAGCAGCCGCGGUAAUACGGAGGGUGCGAGCGUUAAUCGGAAUUACUGGGCGUAAAGCGCGCGUAGGUGGCUUGAUAAGCCGGUUGUGAAAGCCCCGGGCUCAACCUGGGAACGGCAUCCGGAACUGUCAAGCUAGAGUGCAGGAGAGGAAGGUAGAAUUCCCGGUGUAGCGGUGAAAUGCGUAGAGAUCGGGAAGAAUACCAGUGGCGAAGGCGGCCUUCUGGACUGACACUGACACUGAGGUGCGAAAGCGUGGGUAGCAAACAGGAUUAGAUACCCUUGUAGUC
This 465-nucleotide ribosomal RNA is filed under the name Vreelandella stevensii. RNAcentral describes it as "partial 16S ribosomal RNA". It matches the Rfam family "Bacterial small subunit ribosomal RNA", at positions 338 to 795 of the family's 1533-position model. The record is from RNAcentral. Lineage: Bacteria; Pseudomonadati; Pseudomonadota; Gammaproteobacteria; Oceanospirillales; Halomonadaceae.